ACGCUGGCGGCGUGCUUAACACAUGCAAGUCGAACGAUGAACCGCCUUUCGUGGCGGGGAUUAGUGGCGAACGGGUGAGUAACACGCUGGGCAAUCCUGCCCUGCACUCUGGGACAAGCCCUGGAAACGGGGUCUAAUACCGGAUAUGACUGUCCAUCGCAUGGUGGAUGGUGUAAAGCUCCGGCGGUGCAGGAUGAGCCCGCGGCCUAUCAGCUUGUUGGUGAGGUAGUGGCUCACCAAGGCGACGACGGGUAGCCGGCCUGAGAGGGCGACCGGCCACACUGGGACUGAGACACGGCCCAGACUCCUACGGGAGGCAGCAGUGGGGAAUAUUGCACAAUGGGCGAAAGCCUGAUGCAGCGACGCCGCGUGAGGGAUGACGGCCUUCGGGUUGUAAACCUCUUUCAGCAGGGAAGAAGCGAAAGUGACGGUACCUGCAGAAGAAGCGCCGGCUAACUACGUGCCAGCAGCCGCGGUAAUACGUAGGGCGCAAGCGUUGUCCGGAAUUAUUGGGCGUAAAGAGCUCGUAGGCGGCUUGUCACGUCGGUUGUGAAAGCCCGGGGCUUAACCCCGGGUCUGCAGNUCGAUACGGGCAGGCUAGAGUUCGGUAGGGGAGAUCGGAAUUCCUGGUGUAGCGGUGAAAUGCGCAGAUAUCAGGAGGAACACCCGGUGGCGAAGGCGGAUCUUCUGGGCCGAUACUACCGCUAGGAGCAAAGCG
Molecule: ribosomal RNA, 718 nt
Filed under: bacterium EAB-M5.03
Lineage: Bacteria
Description: bacterial SSU rRNA
Rfam family: Bacterial small subunit ribosomal RNA
Source: RNAcentral